This 422-nucleotide ribosomal RNA is filed under the name uncultured microorganism. RNAcentral describes it as "bacterial SSU rRNA". It matches the Rfam family "Bacterial small subunit ribosomal RNA", at positions 9 to 429 of the family's 1533-position model. The record is from RNAcentral.
GAGUUUGAUCUUGGCUCAGAUUGAACGCUGGCGGCAUGCCUCACACAUGCAAGUCGAACGGCAGCAUGAUCUAGCUUGCUAGAUUGAUGGCGAGUGGCGAACGGGUGAGUAAUACAUCGGAACGUGCCCUGUAGUGGGGGAUAACUAGUCGAAAGAUUAGCUAAUACCGCAUACGACCUGAGGGUGAAAGUGGGGGACCGCAAGGCCUCAUGCUAUAGGAGCGGCCGAUGUCUGAUUAGCUAGUUGGUGGGGUAAAGGCCCACCAAGGCGACGAUCAGUAGCUGGUCUGAGAGGACGAUCAGCCACACUGGGGCUGAGACACGGCCCAGACUCCUACGGGAGGCAGCAGUGGGGAAUUUUGGACAAUGGGCGAAAGCCUGAUCCAGCAAUGCCGCGUGUGUGAAGAAGGCCUCGGUUGUAAG